CCUACGGGGGGCUGCAGUGGGGAAUAUUGCACAAUGGGCGCAAGCCUGAUGCAGCAACGCCGCGUGAGGGAAGAAGGCCUUCGGGUUGUAAACCUCUUUUAGCAGGGACGAAGCGAAGUGACGGUACCUGCAGAAGAAGCACCGGCUAACUACGUGCCAGCAGCCGCGGUAAUACGUAGGGUGCAAGCGUUGUCCGGAAUUAUUGGGCGUAAAGAGCUCGUAGGCGGUUUGUCGCGUCUGCUGUGAAAACUGGAAGCUCAACUUCCAGCCUGCAGUGGGUACGGGCAGACUAGAGUGCGGUAGGGGAGAACGGAAUUCCUGGUGUAGCGGUGGAAUGCGCAGAUAUCAGGAGGAACACCGAUGGCGAAGGCAGGUCUCUGGGCCGUUACUGACGCUGAGGAGCGAAAGCGUGGGGAGCGAACAGGAUUAGAUACCCUUGUAGUC
Molecule: ribosomal RNA, 444 nt
Filed under: Ligilactobacillus ruminis
Lineage: Bacteria; Bacillati; Bacillota; Bacilli; Lactobacillales; Lactobacillaceae
Description: bacterial SSU rRNA
Rfam family: Bacterial small subunit ribosomal RNA
Source: RNAcentral